This is a long non-coding RNA of Ostrea edulis (European flat oyster), 1192 nucleotides long. RefSeq lists it as uncharacterized. NCBI's taxonomy places the organism in Eukaryota, Metazoa, Mollusca, Bivalvia, Ostreida, Ostreidae. The transcript has 3 exons. The record is from RefSeq and is a predicted model, not a curated record.
AGCAUAUGUAUAUAAAACUUAUACGGUACCAAUUUUGAUGCACCAGAUGCGCAUUUCGACAAAUAAUGUCUCUUCAGUGAUGCUCAACCGAAAUGUUUGAAAUCCGAAAUAACUAUGUAUGUAAUCCCUUACCAAAUAGCACUUCAAAUAUAGGACAUAUCUAUCUUUAAAUAAAUAUGAUCAGUACUUUCGUGCGAAACUGUCCCUUACUAUCAUGAAGCUUAUAUUCUGCUUUAAAACACAAACCAAUAAUUCUUAAUUGUAUUUUUUUCAUCUUUAAAAAGGUUAUUGACAUCCCAAUAUUUAGUGGGAAGCUUCCGGGUAUCUUCCACUAGUGACAGUCUACUGGCAAAUCCAGACAUGCAUUGGAAGCAUGUUGAUGUGGAGGACACAGGGACACCUGAUCCAAGAACUGUGGCAUUUCAUUCGGAGUGACAACCUGGCAUGCAGUUGAAGAUUUGGUUUUCUCCAUCUGUGUUGCCACUAACCAUUGUGCUGUGAUGGUCAUAGCUAGGGGGAAGGAUUGUCAUAUGCUUCCCAAGGAAGUACGAAGCCUCUCACUGAAGAGGAACUGUACAGAUUUUUGGGCAUUAUCUUAUACAUGUCUGCUGAGAAGUUCCAGUUGAUAGACAGAUAUUGGUCAACGCAUGCCCCUAUCAGAACAACCUAGUAUCAAAAAUUAUGUCUCGAAAUAUGUUUUAAGAGGUUGAAUAUAAGAAGAACAAUUUUUAUUAAAUAUAAUGCAAGUACAUUUAAAUUUAGUGAUUGAAAGUAAGUACUUGAACAUUCGUAUACAUGAACAAUGACCUUGGGGAGGAAAAACGGGCGUUAUUUUCGCAUAGCAUUUGAUAUCAUAAUGGUGUUGUUGCUUAGCAACCAAAUAUAUUUGAAUAUUUAAAAAAUUAUUUUUUUAGAUUUUAACAGGAAAUAUCUUUCUUUUAAUGUUGCAAUAUUUAUACUAUUUAGUGGGACACAAUGGCAAAACGUCAUAUUAUUAGAAAAUGAUGAAUAUGUAUAUGAAGUACGAAAUUUUCAUUUUAUGACCUUUGACCUUAAUUCUCUUCAUGAUAGUUUUUGUUAAAAACCUUUUAAAAUGAUUAAAAUCUAGUCACAGAUUAUAUUUUUAAAAUAAUGUGACAUUUACUAAUCAUCAUGCAAUGUAAUUAUGUUUGAAUUGUGUCGAAUGGAUGUA